Molecule: transfer RNA, 82 nt
Filed under: Alvinocaris longirostris
Lineage: Eukaryota; Metazoa; Arthropoda; Malacostraca; Decapoda; Alvinocarididae
Description: tRNA-Lys
Source: RNAcentral
CAUUAGAUGACUGAAAGUAAGUAUAGGUCUUUUAAACCUAUUAUAGUAAUGCGCCUACUUCUAAUGACCACCCAAAACCCCC